UACGGGAGGCAGCAGUGGGGGAUAUUGCACAAUGGGGGGAACCCUGAUGCAGCGACGCCGCGUGAGUGAAGAAGUUAUUCGUAAUGUAAAGCUCUAUCAGCAGGGAAGAAGCAGACGGUACCUGACUAAGAAGCACCGGCUAAAU
RNAcentral lists this ribosomal RNA (145 nucleotides) under uncultured rumen bacterium. RNAcentral's name for it is "partial 16S ribosomal RNA". It matches the Rfam family "Bacterial small subunit ribosomal RNA", at positions 340 to 502 of the family's 1533-position model. The record is from RNAcentral.